UUACGGCUAUAUCAUGUUGAAGUACUGGUUCUUGUAGGAUCCCUGAAGUUAAACAAUGUCGAGCUUGGUCAAUACCUAGGUGGGAAACCACUUGGGAAUACAAGGUGCUGUAGG
Molecule: non-coding RNA, 114 nt
Organism: Acanthosepion pharaonis
Lineage: Eukaryota; Metazoa; Mollusca; Cephalopoda; Sepiida; Sepiidae
Source: the annotation of a GenBank genome assembly